AAACAUGCAGUCGAGCGGAAACGAUGAUAGCUUGCUAUCAGGCGUCGAGCGGCGGACGGGUGAGUAAUACUUAGGAAUCUACCUAGUAGUGGGGGAUAGCACGGGGAAACUCGUAUUAAUACCGCAUACGACCUACGGGAGAAAGGGGGCAGUUUACUGCUCUCGCUAUUAGAUGAGCCUAAGUCGGAUUAGCUAGAUGGUGGGGUAAAGGCCUACCAUGGCGACGAUCUGUAGCUGGUCUGAGAGGAUGAUCAGCCACACCGGGACUGAGACACGGCCCGGACUCCUACGGGAGGCAGCAGUGGGGAAUAUUGGACAAUGGGGGAAACCCUGAUCCAGCCAUGCCGCGUGUGUGAAGAAGGCCUUUUGGUUGUAAAGCACUUUAAGCAGUGAAGAAGACUCUUCGGUUAAUACCCGGAGACGAUGACAUUAGCUGCAGAAUAAGCACCGGCUAACUCUGUGCCAGCAGCCGCGGUAAUACAGAGGGUGCAAGCGUUAAUCGGAAUUACUGGGCGUAAAGCGAGCGUAGGUGGCUUGAUAAGUCAGAUGUGAAAUCCCCGGGCUUAACCUGGGAACUGCAUCUGAAACUGUUAGGCUAGAGUAGGUGAGAGGGAGGUAGAAUUUCAGGUGUAGCGGUGAAAUGCGUAGAGAUCUGAAGGAAUACCGAUGGCGAAGGCAGCCUCCUGGCAUCAUACUGACACUGAGGCUCGAAAGCGUGGGUAGCAAACAGGAUUAGAUACCCUGGUAGUCCACGCCGUAAACGAUGUCUACUAGUCGUUGGGUCCCUUGAGGACUUAGUGACGCAGCUAACGCAAUAAGUAGACCGCCUGGGGAGUACGGCCGCAAGGUUAAAACUCAAAUGAAUUGACGGGGGCCCGCACAAGCGGUGGAGCAUGUGGUUUAAUUCGAUGCAACGCGAA
This 920-nucleotide ribosomal RNA is filed under the name Psychrobacter nivimaris. RNAcentral's name for it is "bacterial SSU rRNA". It matches the Rfam family "Bacterial small subunit ribosomal RNA", at positions 51 to 965 of the family's 1533-position model. Lineage: Bacteria; Pseudomonadati; Pseudomonadota; Gammaproteobacteria; Moraxellales; Moraxellaceae. The record is from RNAcentral.